ACUCCUACGGGAGGCAGCAGUGGGGAAUAUUGCACAAUGGGGGCAACCCUGAUCCAGCCAUGCCGCUGUGUGUGAAGAAGGCUUUCGGGUUGUAAAGCACUUUCAGUCAGGAGGAAGGCNUUAAGGUUAAUACCCNUNAGCAUUGACGUUACUCGCAGAAGAAGCACCGGCUAACUCC
RNAcentral lists this ribosomal RNA (178 nucleotides) under uncultured Gammaproteobacteria bacterium. Its description in RNAcentral is "partial 16S ribosomal RNA". It matches the Rfam family "Bacterial small subunit ribosomal RNA", at positions 335 to 504 of the family's 1533-position model. Lineage: Bacteria; Pseudomonadati; Pseudomonadota; Gammaproteobacteria. The record is from RNAcentral.